UACGAAGGGUGCAAGCGUUACUCGGAAUUACUGGGCGUAAAGGGUGCGUAGGUGGUUCUUUAAGUCUGCUGUGAAAGCCCCGGGCUCAACCUGGGAAUGGCAGUGGAUACUGGAGAGCUAGAGUGCGGUAGAGGGUAGUGGAAUUCCCGGUGUAGCAGUGAAAUGCGUAGAGAUCGGGAGGAACACCAGUGGCGAAGGCGGCUACCUGGACCAGCACUGACACUGAAGCACGAAAGCGUGGGGGGCAAACAGG
Molecule: ribosomal RNA, 253 nt
Filed under: uncultured bacterium
Lineage: Bacteria
Description: partial 16S ribosomal RNA
Rfam family: Bacterial small subunit ribosomal RNA
Source: RNAcentral